Molecule: ribosomal RNA, 497 nt
Filed under: uncultured bacterium
Lineage: Bacteria
Description: partial 16S ribosomal RNA
Rfam family: Bacterial small subunit ribosomal RNA
Source: RNAcentral
GAUGAACGCUGGCGGCGUGCCUAACACAUGCAAGUCGAGCGAAAGGACGAGAAGUAGGCUCGCAUGAGGGUAGCGGGGGAGGGGAGAGUAACACGUGGAUAAAAUAACUAUAAGACUGGGAUAAUAACGGGAAACAGGAGCUAAUAACGGAAGAUAUAUCGAACUGGAUGGUGCAAAAGUGAAAGAAGGUAUUGCGGACAGUAAAAGACGGAUCAGGGCUUGAUUAGUUGGUGGGUAAGGGAACGGCUUACCAAGGCUACGACGCAGAGCCGCUCUGAGAGGGUGAUUGCCUACACUGGAACUGAGACUCGUCCCCGACUCCUACGGGAGGCAGCAGUCGGGACUCCUCCGCAAUGGGCGAAUGCCUGACGUAGCAACACCGCGUGAGUGAUGAAGGUCUUCGGCUCGUAAAGCUCUGUUGUUCGGAAAGAUCUUAUGUUUUUUUACCUGUGCUCAUCUUGACGGUACCUAAACAAUAAGCCCCGGCUAACUACGUG